GUGGUUGUUUCGGCAGCACAAAAACUAAAAUUGGAACAAUACAGAGAGGAUUAGCAUGGCCCCUGUGCAAGGAUGACAUACAAAUUCAUGAAGCAUUCGUAGUAAAA
This 107-nucleotide small nuclear RNA is filed under the name Castor canadensis (American beaver). The record is from RNAcentral. Lineage: Eukaryota; Metazoa; Chordata; Mammalia; Rodentia; Castoridae.